GUCUAUGGCAAUACCACCCUGAACGUGCCCCAUCUCGUCUGAUUUCGGAAGGUAAGCAGGGUAGCACCUAGUUAGUCUUUGGAUGGGAGACCACUUGGGAAUAUCGGGUGCUGUAGUCA
This is a ribosomal RNA of Cercocebus atys (sooty mangabey), 119 nucleotides long. The record is from Ensembl. Lineage: Eukaryota; Metazoa; Chordata; Mammalia; Primates; Cercopithecidae.